This 672-nucleotide ribosomal RNA is filed under the name Kosakonia sp. RNAcentral describes it as "bacterial SSU rRNA". It matches the Rfam family "Bacterial small subunit ribosomal RNA", at positions 66 to 733 of the family's 1533-position model. Lineage: Bacteria; Pseudomonadati; Pseudomonadota; Gammaproteobacteria; Enterobacterales; Enterobacteriaceae. The record is from RNAcentral.
ACAGGAAGCAGCUUGCUGCUUUGCUGACGAGUGGCGGACGGGUGAGUAAUGUCUGGGAAACUGCCUGAUGGAGGGGGAUAACUACUGGAAACGGUAGCUAAUACCGCAUAACGUCGCAAGACCAAAGAGGGGGACCUUCGGGCCUCUUGCCAUCAGAUGUGCCCAGAUGGGAUUAGCUAGUAGGUGGGGUAACGGCUCACCUAGGCGACGAUCCCUAGCUGGUCUGAGAGGAUGACCAGCCACACUGGAACUGAGACACGGUCCAGACUCCUACGGGAGGCAGCAGUGGGGAAUAUUGCACAAUGGGCGCAAGCCUGAUGCAGCCAUGCCGCGUGUAUGAAGAAGGCCUUCGGGUUGUAAAGUACUUUCAGCGGGGAGGAAGGCGAUGCGGUUAAUAACCGCGUCGAUUGACGUUACCCGCAGAAGAAGCACCGGCUAACUCCGUGCCAGCAGCCGCGGUAAUACGGAGGGUGCAAGCGUUAAUCGGAAUUACUGGGCGUAAAGCGCACGCAGGCGGUCUGUCAAGUCGGAUGUGAAAUCCCCGGGCUCAACCUGGGAACUGCAUCCGAAACUGGCAGGCUUGAGUCUCGUANAGGGGGGUAGAAUUCCAGGUGUANCGGUGAAAUGCGUACAGAUCUGGAGGAAUACCGGUGGCGAANGCGUCCCCCUGGG